This 775-nucleotide ribosomal RNA is filed under the name uncultured Arthrobacter sp. RNAcentral describes it as "bacterial SSU rRNA". It matches the Rfam family "Bacterial small subunit ribosomal RNA", at positions 8 to 796 of the family's 1533-position model. The record is from RNAcentral. Lineage: Bacteria; Bacillati; Actinomycetota; Actinomycetes; Micrococcales; Micrococcaceae.
AGAGUUUGAUCCUGGCUCAGGAUGAACGCUGGCGGCGUGCUUAACACAUGCAAGUCGAACGAUGAUCCCAGCUUGCUGGGGGAUUAGUGGCGAACGGGUGAGUAACACGUGAGUAACCUGCCCUUAACUCUGGGAUAAGCCUGGGAAACUGGGUCUAAUACCGGAUAUGACUCCUCAUCGCAUGGUGGGGGGUGGAAAGCUUUAUUGUGGUUUUGGAUGGACUCGCGGCCUAUCAGCUUGUUGGUGAGGUAAUGGCUCACCAAGGCGACGACGGGUAGCCGGCCUGAGAGGGUGACCGGCCACACUGGGACUGAGACACGGCCCAGACUCCUACGGGAGGCAGCAGUGGGGAAUAUUGCACAAUGGGCGAAAGCCUGAUGCAGCGACGCCGCGUGAGGGAUGACGGCCUUCGGGUUGUAAACCUCUUUCAGUAGGGAAGAAGCGAAAGUGACGGUACCUGCAGAAGAAGCGCCGGCUAACUACGUGCCAGCAGCCGCGGUAAUACGUAGGGCGCAAGCGUUAUCCGGAAUUAUUGGGCGUAAAGAGCUCGUAGGCGGUUUGUCGCGUCUGCCGUGAAAGUCCGGGGCUUAACUCCGGAUCUGCGGUGGGUACGGGCAGACUAGAGUGCAGUAGGGGAGACUGGAAUUCCUGGUGUAGCGGUGAAAUGCGCAGAUAUCAGGAGGAACACCGAUGGCGAAGGCAGGUCUCUGGGCUGUAACUGACGCUGAGGAGCGAAAGCAUGGGGAGCGAACAGGAUUAGAUACCCCGGUAGUCC